RNAcentral lists this ribosomal RNA (749 nucleotides) under uncultured bacterium. RNAcentral's name for it is "bacterial SSU rRNA". It matches the Rfam family "Bacterial small subunit ribosomal RNA", at positions 753 to 1504 of the family's 1533-position model. The record is from RNAcentral.
GCGAAAGCGUGGGAGCAAACGGGAUUAGAUACCCCGGUAGUCCACGCCGUAAACGAUGUCUACUAGCCGUUGGAGGACUUGAUCCUUUAGUGGCGCAGCUAACGCGAUAAGUAGACCGCCUGGGGAGUACGGUCGCAAGAUUAAAACUCAAAUGAAUUGACGGGGGCCCGCACAAGCGGUGGAGCAUGUGGUUUAAUUCGAAGCAACGCGAAGAACCUUACCUACUCUUGACAUCCAGUGAACUUUUGAGAGAUCAAUUGGUGCCUUCGGGAACACUGAGACAGGUGCUGCAUGGCUGUCGUCAGCUCGUGUUGUGAAAUGUUGGGUUAAGUCCCGUAACGAGCGCAACCCUUGUCCUUAGUUACCAUCAUUAAGUUGGGGACUCUAAGGAGACUGCCGGUGACAAACCGGAGGAAGGCGGGGACGACGUCAAGUCAUCAUGGCCCUUACGAGUAGGGCUACACACGUGCUACAAUGGCAUGUACAAAGGGUUGCCAAGCCGCGAGGUGGAGCUAAUCCCAUAAAGCAUGUCGUAGUCCGGAUUGGAGUCUGCAACUCGACUCCAUGAAGUCGGAAUCGCUAGUAAUCGUGAAUCAGAAUGUCACGGUGAAUACGUUCCCGGGCCUUGUACACACCGCCCGUCACACCAUGGGAGUGGGUUGCUCCAGAAGUAGAUAGCUUAACCUUCGGGAGGGCGUUUACCACGGAGUGAUUCAUGACUGGGGUGAAGUCGUAACAAGGUAGCCGUA